UGGGGAAUUUUGGACAAUGGGCGAAAGCCUGAUCCAGCAAUGCCGCGUGUGUGAAGAAGGCCUUCGGGUUGUAAAGCACUUUUGUCCGGAAAGAAAUCCUUGGCUCUAAUACAGUCGGGGGAUGACGGUACCGGAAGAAUAAGCACCGGCUAACUACGUGCCAGCAGCCGCGGUAAUACGUAGGGUGCAAGCGUUAAUCGGAAUUACUGGGCGUAAAGCGUGCGCAGGCGGUUUGCUAAGACCGAUGUGAAAUCCCCGGGCUCAACCUGGGAACUGCAUUGGUGACUGGCAGGCUAGAGUAUGGCAGAGGGGGGUAGAAUUCCACGUGUAGCAGUGAAAUGCGUAGAGAUGUGGAGGAAUACCGAUGGCGAAGGCAGCCCCCUGGGCCAAUACUGACGCUCAUGCACGAAAGCGUGGGGAGCAAAACAGGAUUAGAUACCCUGGUAGUCCACGCCCUAAAACGAUGUCAACUAGUUGUUGGGGAUUCAUUUCCUUAGUAACGUAGCUAACGCGUGAAGUUGACCGCCUGGGGAGUACGGUCGCAAGAUUAAAACUUAAAUGAAUUGACGGGG
This 572-nucleotide ribosomal RNA is filed under the name uncultured bacterium. RNAcentral's name for it is "partial 16S ribosomal RNA". It matches the Rfam family "Bacterial small subunit ribosomal RNA", at positions 355 to 918 of the family's 1533-position model. The record is from RNAcentral.